GCAGUCGGACGGUAGCACAGAGAGCUUGCUCUUGGGUGACGAGUGGCGGACGGGUGAGUAAUGUCUGGGGAUCUGCCCGAUAGAGGGGGAUAACCACUGGAAACGGUGGCUAAUACCGCAUAACGUCGCAAGACCAAAGAGGGGGACCUUCGGGCCUCUCACUAUCGGAUGAACCCAGAUGGGAUUAGCUAGUAGGCGGGGUAAUGGCCCACCUAGGCGACGAUCCCUAGCUGGUCUGAGAGGAUGACCAGCCACACUGGAACUGAGACACGGUCCAGACUCCUACGGGAGGCAGCAGUGGGGAAUAUUGCACAAUGGGCGCAAGCCUGAUGCACCCAUGCCGCGUGUAUGAAGAAGGCCUUCGGGUUGUAAAGUACUUUCAGCGGGGAGGAAGGCGGUGAGGUUAAUAACCUCGCCGAUUGACGUUACCCGCAGAAGAAGCACCGGCUAACUCCGUGCCAGCAGCCGCGGUAAUACGGAGGGUGCAAGCGUUAAUCGGAAUUACUGGGCGUAAAGCGCACGCAGGCGGUCUGUUAAGUCAGAUGUGAAAUCCCCGGGCUUAACCUGGGAACUGCAUUUGAAACUGGCAGGCUUGAGUCUCGUAGAGGGGGGUAGAAUUCCAGGUGUAGCGGUGAAAUGCGUAGAGAUCUGGAGGAAUACCGGUGGCGAAGGC
Molecule: ribosomal RNA, 673 nt
Filed under: Pantoea sp.
Lineage: Bacteria; Pseudomonadati; Pseudomonadota; Gammaproteobacteria; Enterobacterales; Erwiniaceae
Description: bacterial SSU rRNA
Rfam family: Bacterial small subunit ribosomal RNA
Source: RNAcentral